RNAcentral lists this ribosomal RNA (410 nucleotides) under uncultured bacterium. Its description in RNAcentral is "bacterial SSU rRNA". It matches the Rfam family "Bacterial small subunit ribosomal RNA", at positions 541 to 949 of the family's 1533-position model. The record is from RNAcentral.
UUGUCCGGAAUGAUUGGGUGUAAAGGGCGUGUAGGCGGUUGAGUAAGUCUGGAGUGAAAGUCCUGUUUUCAAGAUGGGAAUUGCUUUGGAUACUGCUUGACUUGAGUGCAGGAGAGGUUAUCGGAAUUCCCGGUGUAGCGGUGAAAUGCGUAGAGAUCGGGAGGAACACCAGUGGCGAAGGCGGGUAACUGGACUGCAACUGACGCUGAGGCGCGAAAGUGUGGGGAGCAAACAGGAUUAGAUACCCUGGUAGUCCACACUGUAAACGAUGAAUGCUAGGUGUAGGGGGUAUCGACCCCUUCUGUGCCGCAGUAAACACAAUAAGCAUUCCGCCUGGGGAGUACGGCCGCAAGGUUGAAACUCAAAGGAAUUGACGGGGGCCCGCACAAGCAGCGGAGCAUGUGGUUUAA